This 495-nucleotide ribosomal RNA is filed under the name uncultured bacterium. RNAcentral describes it as "partial 16S ribosomal RNA". It matches the Rfam family "Bacterial small subunit ribosomal RNA", at positions 28 to 507 of the family's 1533-position model. The record is from RNAcentral.
GACGAACGCUGGCGGCGUGCCUAAUACAUGCAAGUAGAACGCUGAAGGAGGAGCUUGCUUCUCUGGAUGAGUUGCGAACGGGUGAGUAACGCGUAGGUAACCUGCCUGGUAGCGGGGUAUAACUAUUGGAAACGAUAGCUAAUACCGCAUAAUAGUAGAUGUUGCAUGACAUUUGCUUAAAAGGUGCAAUUGCAUCACUACCAGAUGGACCUGCGUUGUAUUAGCUAGUUGGUGAGGUAACGGCUCACCAAGGCAACGAUACAUAGCCGACCUGAGAGGGUGAUCGGCCACCCUGGGACUGAGACACGGCCCAGACUUCUACGGGAGGCAGCAGUAGGGAAUCUUCGGCAAUAGACGGAAGUCUGACCGAGCAACGCCGCGGGAGUGAAGAAGGGUUUCGGAUCGUAAAGCUCUGUUGUAAGAGAAGAACGAGUGUGAGAGUGGAAAGUUCACACUGUGACGGUAUCUUACCAGAAAGGGACGGCUAACUACGUG